RNAcentral lists this unclassified non-coding RNA (1644 nucleotides) under Bactrocera latifrons. Its description in RNAcentral is "wD repeat and FYVE domain-containing protein 2, transcript variant X1". Lineage: Eukaryota; Metazoa; Arthropoda; Insecta; Diptera; Tephritidae. The record is from RNAcentral.
AGGCUGACAUUACUAAUUAAUUGCGUAGACUGGUUAUAAUGUUUACGAGUGUUAUAUGUGCUCAACAUCGUUCUUUGGUCCGAUAUAACUUUCGUAUUAAUAUGGCUGCAGAAAUUAAGCCGGCUCAGCGCAGUUGUGAUGAUCGUUUCAGUUCUGAGAAGAAGUUGGAAUUGCUAAAUAAAUUGGAGGGCAGUGGUGAUGAUAUUAAUUCUGCAAUAUUUAUUCCCGGUGAAAACGGAGUUAUAAGCGUAUCUGAUGACAAAACUAUACGUGUGUGGCUUAAACGAGACUCAGGGCAGUAUUGGCCUAGUAUAUGUGAAAGUAUGCCUUCAGGGGGUACGUCUAUAUAUUAUAAUGCGGCCGAAAGACAAUUGUAUAUUGGCCAGGAUAAUGGAACGGUAACCCAAUACUUAUUUUCGGAUGACUGCAACCGUCUUUCUUUUGUGCGAGAUUAUUUAGCUCAUCAGGGUCGUGUAAUGGAAGUUGUAGUAGCUCAUAUGCUGAAGUGGGUGUUGUCAUGUGGGAAGGACAAGUUAUUCGUCUUUUACUCUACCGAAAAUGGUCAGAGAUUGGGUAGUUACAGUUUUGAGACACCUUGUACUUCACUUCAAUUUGACACCAUGGCGAAAUAUGCAUUCGUUGGAGACAAUGCUGGUAUGAUCACAAUGUUACGAUGUGACGUACAAGGCGUUCAAUUCAUUAAUACCUUCAAAGGACAUACUACUAGUAUUCGAUGCUUGAAAUGGGUAGAAGAACAUCAGUUACUGUUUAGUGGAUCUUGUGAUCAAAUGGUUUUUGUAUGGGAUGUUGGAGGAAAACGUGGCACAAUUUAUGAACUACAAGGACACAAUAAUAAAGUUUCAUCACUUGCAUAUGCCAAUCAUACCCAGCAACUAAUAAGCGGAGGUGAAGAUUCUGUUAUUGUUUUUUGGGAAAUGAAUGCGAUGCGAAAGGAAGUACCAGGAUGGGUUGAAAGCAAUAGUUGUCAACAAUGUCAACGUCCAUUUUUUUGGAAUUUCCGAGCAAUGAUGGACCAAAGACAAAUAGGAAAUUCGAAUGGACAAUUUUGCUAUUCCAAUCAAACUUCGACUGAAAAUAGUCCAAAAUCGUAAUAUCGGAAAAGAGUUGGGUGGAACUGAAGUUGAAUUGCUCAAGAAGGAAAUUUUGAAGGUGUAUUGAAGCUCUCCCUACGAAGCAGUUCUGCUCCAAGUUGGUCACUGUAAUGAUGAUUUGUGCGAAAACUUCCUAGCAGAAAUGUAGGCUUCAUAAUUACGUUGUUCGACGAGGGACAUCAAAAGUCAUCAUGUGAUAAUCCAAUGUGCGGUGUUCUGGCAUGUCUGUUUGUUUCUACUGCAAUCAAGCGAAUGUGUAGUUCAUGACUUUAAUUGUAAGACUUCUCUAAGUUGGUAGAUUGGUGUCAGGGAGAAGUUGAGAACCUUUGUGAAGAACUUUACUCCCGGCGAUAGACCGAUGAACUUAGACGUUUUAGUCUUAUAGAUCACAUCUUGACUCUCUUCGUCGGUAAAAGCAAUUGAUGGGCAAUUCUUUGGCGUUUUGGGCAUUCGACAGCACCAUUGUCGACACUGUGGAAAGGCUGUAUGUGACAGUUGCUCUGUAAACCGUAUUAAUAUUCCUAUAAUGGGA